CUAAUGUAUAUGAAUUAUUUUAAGCCUAGAGACUUGGAUUUUAGUCUCAAGAUUCUCCUACUAUUUUAUUCAAAUUGGUAGCCUCUACCUCCAAUUCAGAGAAUUACUUUAAUUUUUUAGUAGGUACUAGAAUCCACAUAGACUACACACAAGUCCGACUUUGGUCGGCCAACCCAUCUACAUCUACGGAUAGGUUUAUUAACCAAUUAUUUCUUCAAACAACU
Molecule: long non-coding RNA, 224 nt
Filed under: Elaeis guineensis (African oil palm)
Lineage: Eukaryota; Viridiplantae; Streptophyta; Magnoliopsida; Arecales; Arecaceae
Description: long non-coding RNA (EGUI_LNC075612)
Source: RNAcentral